GGGGAAUAUUGCACAAUGGGGGAAACCCUGAUGCAGCGACGCCGCGUGGAGGAAGAAGGUCUUCGGAUUGUAAACUCCUGUUGUUGGGGAAGAUAAUGACGGUACUCAACAAGGAAGUGACGGCUAACUACGUGCCAGCAGCCGCGGUAAAACGUAGGUCACAAGCGUUGUCCGGAAUUACUGGGUGUAAAGGGAGCGCAGGCGGGAAGACAAGUUGGAAGUGAAAUCUAUGGGCUCAACCCAUAAACUGCUUUCAAAACUGUUUUUCUUGAGUAGUGCAGAGGUAGGCGGAAUUCCCGGUGUAGCGGUGGAAUGCGUAGAUAUCGGGAGGAACACCAGUGGCGAAGGCGGCCUACUGGGCACCAACUGACGCUGAGGCUCGAAAGUGUGGGUAGCAAACAGGAUUAGAUACCCUGGUAGUCCACACCGUAAACGAUGAUUACUAGGUGUUGGAGGAUUGACCCCUUCAGUGCCGCAGUUAACACAAUAAGUAAUCCACCUGGGGAGUACGACCGCAAGGUUGAAACUCAAAGGAAUUGACGGGGGCCCGCACAAGCAGUGGAGUAUGUGGUUUAAUUCGACGCAACGCGAAGAACCUUACCAAGUCUUGACAUCCUGCGACGAUGCUGGAAACAGUAUUUUCCUUCGGGACGCAGAGACAGGUGGUGCAUGGUUGUCGUCAGCUCGUGUCGUGAGAUGUUGGGUUAAGUCCCGCAACGAGCGCAACCCUUACUGUCAGUUACUACGUUAAGAGGACUCUGGCGAGACUGCCGUUGACAAAACGGAGGAAGGUGGGGAUGACGUCAAAUCAUCAUGCCCUUUAUGACCUGGGCUACACACGUACUACAAUGGCGUUAAACAAAGAGAAGCAAGACCGCGAGGUGGAGCAAAACUCAAAAACAACGUCUCAGUUCAGAUUGCAGGCUGCAACUCGCCUGCAUGAAGUCGGAAUUGCUAGUAAUCGCGGAUCAGCAUGCCGCGGUGAAUACGUUCCCG
This 996-nucleotide ribosomal RNA is filed under the name uncultured bacterium. Its description in RNAcentral is "bacterial SSU rRNA". It matches the Rfam family "Bacterial small subunit ribosomal RNA", at positions 356 to 1376 of the family's 1533-position model. The record is from RNAcentral.